UAGGGAAUCUUCGGCAAUGGACGAAAGUCUGACCGAGCAACGCCGCGUGAGUGAAGAAGGUUUUCGGAUCGUAAAACUCUGUUGUUAGAGAAGAACAAGGACGUUAGUAACUGAACGUCCCCUGACGGUAUCUAACCAGAAAGCCACGGCUAACUACGUGCCAGCAGCCGCGGUAAUACGUAGGUGGCAAGCGUUGUCCGGAUUUAUUGGGCGUAAAGCGAGCGCAGGCGGUUUCUUAAGUCUGAUGUGAAAGCCCCCGGCUCAACCGGGGAGGGUCAUUGGAAACUGGGAGACUUGAGUGCAGAAGAGGAGAGUGGAAUUCCAUGUGUAGCGGUGAAAUGCGUAGAUAUAUGGAGGAACACCAGUGGCGAAGGCGGCUCUCUGGUCUGUAACUGACGCUGAGGCUCGAAAGCGUGGGGAGCAAACAGGAUUAGAUACCCUGGUAGUCCACGCCGUAAACGAUGAGUGCUAAGUGUUGGAGGGUUUCCGCCCUUCGGUGCUGCAGCAAACGCAUUAAGCACUCCGCCUGGGGAGUACGACCGCAAGGUUG
This 550-nucleotide ribosomal RNA is filed under the name uncultured bacterium. Its description in RNAcentral is "bacterial SSU rRNA". It matches the Rfam family "Bacterial small subunit ribosomal RNA", at positions 355 to 896 of the family's 1533-position model. The record is from RNAcentral.